RNAcentral lists this long non-coding RNA (2357 nucleotides) under Olea europaea subsp. europaea. The record is from RNAcentral. Lineage: Eukaryota; Viridiplantae; Streptophyta; Magnoliopsida; Lamiales; Oleaceae.
CACUUAUGGAGUUUUUGGACAUUUAUGAUCACAUUUCGAUAUAGGGGUAUCAAUAGGGUAACAAUUUCAUAUGAGCAUUUAUAGUAUAAAACUCUUGUGAUAGAACAAAAAGAUACGAAUAGUCUUCUUAGCACAAAUCAUACAAAUUGCUAAACCCAUGUCUCUUCUCUCAAAAAUUGAGGACAACAAUUUCAAAAUGGUCUCUAUACACUCCUUAUUAUGUUUAGCCAAUCUAAUGUCAUCAAUAUCAAAAUUAGAAUUACAACCUACUAUCAAACCUUUACACAAAUAUAGUAAUUUUCGCCCAUAUGACGAAACUCUUAUACGAGAUUUAACCCUAAUAAAAACUCAAGUACGACUGUCAAGAUGACUGUAUUAUGCUGUGCAUGUAACUAUAAAGUUACAACAAUAAAAAAGGCCUUUAACAUGAAAUCUAAAAGUCGAUUCAUGUUGAUCUCUUUAAUCAUUUCUCCAUUGAGAAUAAAAAUACAGUCUUUUGGGUCUAUUUGAUGUAACUCUAAAUUUUAUACAUACUAUCAAGGCUAGCAUAGACGUACAGAAGCGGAUCCCAUCGUUAUGAAAAAAAUUUAUCCAACUCAAUAUACUCACAUUGAAUAUAACCUUUUUAAAAAACGAGCUUUAUCUAUUAGAAACUCAUUAGUCUUCUACUCAACUUUCAAGAACCUGAAUGUUCUCAAUAAAUACACAAUGUCCGAAUAGAACUUUUACCAUAUCUCAAAUUAGGUUGAAAUUCUAUACUCCAUAUAUAUACUUCCAUUACUUUUCUCAAAAUUCCUCUUCUGAUUUUCUGAAUCAAGAAUCAUUGGCAUUAAAUAACUCUUAGAUUCAACUUGGAACCAAGAAUCAUUAAAAUUAGAUAGUUCUUGGAUGGUUCCCACUCAAAUAGAUAGCUCUCACUCAGAACAAAAAAUUAUUGAUAUUAAAUGACUCUUAGCUUCCACUCGAAACCAAGUAUCAUUAAAAUUAGAUAGCUCUUAGAUGGCUCCCACUCGGAUAGAUAGGUCCAACUCGGAAACAAAUUACUCCCACUUAAAUCAAAAGUUUGAAUAAUCUUUUAUAUAUUCAAAAUUGAUUCAUCAGUACAUAUAAUAUCAAUUUCAAUGAUGUUCUCUAAUCUUUUCUCUCUUACUGAAAAAUAUGUCAAAUGUCAUAUUUUAUGACUCGAUAUCCAUCCAAAAUUUCACUGAAAUACCUUUUUUUUGGACUACCUUAAUAGACUCAUGUUCCUAUACUCAUUACCAAGAACAUAUAUAGUCCAUUAAGAGUCUAUGAUAACCCAUGUUUGAUUAUUUAAGUGUCCAAAACUUAUAUAUUCUGAAAGUUCCAACAUUGAGGAACUCCUUUAAUUGAUAUGUUGAGUUAGCCAACGCUCUUGCCAAAAGCAAAUACGUACUACAUAACUUGAACCUCAUGAGUCAUCAUAUUUAGCAAUAUUUUAUUCUUUCAAUCCAAUACACCAUAUAAUUAUUGGAUAUUAAAAAAUAGUCAAUCCAAUAAGAGUUGCUCUCAUUACAUAGAUCAUUGAUAUCUUGUGAUAGAGAUUUAGGCUAUCAAACAUUUCUUAAAAUCUUCACUUUCAUAAUCUGAUUUUCUACUCGACCUCAUAAAAGUCUAAAUCAAUAUAAUAUCUUCAACAUAAGAAAAUCGAUCUCACAACUCAAGUGCAUGAAUCCAUAUAUAAAUGUAAUGAAAAGUAAAGUUUCAUCUCUAUCUCUCUUAAUCACGAUCCACAAAAAAAUUUGGAUGGAUUUAUUCUAUGGAAGUUCAGCUGUUAUAGCUUUGAAUGUUUUUCUCAACUCAAAACCUCAAACCAUUGCACAAAUAUCCAGAACCAUAAUAAACAUCACCAUUGUGAGUACGAACAGAACUAACAUGUACAAGUUCAAGUAAGAGACCACUUUUUGAAGAACAAUAAUUGAGUUCAUAUUUAGUGGAGUCUUUGAUACUAUCUCAAUAUCCACUUUGCAACACUAAGUUGCAAUACCAGUCAUAUAAACAUCUACUCCAUCUUCACUAUUUGUACAUAUCUAUUUCAUAUCAAGUCAAAGACUUAACAAUAGAUUAAGAUACUUCUUGAUCUCAUAUGAAGUGAGUUUCUAACCCUUGAAUCCAUUAUCUACACAAUAUAAGAUCGAAUAUGUAUAGUGUUGGUGCGUAAACAACACUAAGAGGAAUAUGGUCAAGUGUAAUAUUCUUUAGCCUAACCAUUUUCGAGCUAAGAGAUUCAAAUUGAAGCACUUGAACCUUUAUAACAUUGAUCCUCUACCAAAACCACUUUCAUUCACUUAUUAUUUGAAGUUCUUCUUAGCCCCCUUUUCAAUCUCAGCAUCUGUCCC